ACUUACUGAUGGAGAAAGAAGUAACACCUGAGAAUGAGUGCUGAAGAAAAAACUUCCGUGUACUUUAGCUGUGGCUUCUACAGAGUGACUCUGAGCAACCCUGUGGAAAAAGUGGCCUAUCUUGUAAUAUUCCAUAUUCUCUUUGUGCUCUUUGUGUGGACAUAUUGGAAGUCUAUUUUUACUCUCCCAGUGCAGCCAGGCAAAAAGUAUCAUAUGUCCUAUGCUGACCAAGAACGCUAUGAAAAUGAAGAAAGGCCAGAGGUGCAAAGGCAAAUUCUCGCCGAAAUUGCAAGGAAGUUGCCGGUCUACACCAGAACAGGGAAUGGAGGUAUUCGAUUCUGUGAUAGGUGCCAGCUAAUAAAACCUGAUCGUUGUCACCAUUGUUCCGUUUGUGCUGUAUGCGUGCUAAAAAUGGAUCAUCACUGUCCGUGGGUGAAUAACUGCAUUGGAUUUUCUAACUACAAAUUCUUUCUACUGUUCUUAGCCUAUGCUUUGUUGUAUUGCAUGUAUAUUGCUGCAACAGUCUUCAAGUAUUUCAUUAAGUAUUGGACAGGUGAACUGACUAAUGGACGUUCGAAAUUUCAUGUCCUUUUCCUUCUCUUCGUGGCGGUCAUGUUCUUUGUAAGCCUUAUGUUUCUAUUUGGCUACCAUUGUUGGCUCGUUAGUAGAAACAGAUCUACUUUAGAGGCAUUCUCAGCUCCGGUGUUUCAAAAUGGCCCAGAUAAAAAUGGAUUCAAUCUUGGCUUUGUAAAGAAUCUUCAGCAAGUGUUUGGAGAAGAAAAAAAGCUCUGGUUACUACCUAUUGCCUCUAGCCAGGGUGAUGGACAUUUUUUCCCAAUGAGAGCUUUGUGUGAAGCUCAGAAUCCUCUCCUAGCAAAUGAAGAGCAGUGGGAAGAUGAUGGAAUAGAUGAAGAGCCUCAUGAGAAAAUUCAUUUGGAGAAAAUUUAAGUUCUGUGGCAAAUUGAUAUUUGACACUGCUUGAUGCCGUUCUUGCAUUUUGACCAUCAUGUCUUACAACGAGUUCUGGAUCUUAAAACUGAACAGCACAAGAUCAGUAGUCUGGUGAAGCUUCAUCCCUUGCCAUAGAAAAGGAGACAUAGCAGUUUGAAAAUGCAGCAGUAUAAACCUUGUUCAGAAAGGUCAAGCUUCCCUCUCAGGAGUCAACAUCCCUUCUCUUGGCAUGGACUUGAGUUUUGAGGGACAGAAAACAAGUGGAACUUCAAGAUGAGAAAACAUCAUGAAGUAUCAUCUGAUUGGAACCUGCAUUCUAGAGUGCUUCUCCAGAAAUUCUGCUAUCCAGAUGUUUCAAGGCUUUAUAAGUUUAAGUUAUGGAGUGAACAGAACAGUUUUAUAAAGUGAUUCUGGCCAAUCUUCUUUGGCCUGCUCUCUUUAUUUUAUAAAUAAUAUAUAUUUUUUAUUCAAAAUAGGUAAAAAUAUUGAUGUGAAUGCAUUUCCAAAGGCCUUUUCAUUUUGCAGACAUCAGGGACUCAAGUUCUUGAAAUUCUUCCAAGCCAUAAUAUUCUUUGGAAUGGUAUUUAUUUUGAGACUGAUUCUCCAACCUUCUCUGACAAGUGGCAUUUUCUAAUGCGUUUAAAGUUCUGAGUCAGUUUGACUUAGUGAGAGACAGACCCACUUAAACUUGGCACUAAACUGAUAGCUGGAUGUGUGUUGAAAAAUUGCUGAACAUGCAUACAUACAUGUGCAGCUGUGUAUGAAAUCAAAAUAUUCAUAUUGCCAAUAUCAAGAUUCAAGAAUAAUGUGGCCACAGAUUUAAAAAAAAAAAAAUUUUAGGAGGGUGUAAUUGUGUUAGAGUUUGAGUUAUAGUGCCCUUUAAGCCCAAUCCUACUUGCAGGCACUUAAAAUGCAAAAGGGAACUUGAGACAGUACAGUUUGCAUUAAUUCCUAGGGCUAAAAUAUCAGCUCAUUCUUGGAUCAGUGUUUGAUGGAAAUUUGAGUGUUUAUGGAGUCAGAAGGGAAGACGUAAAUUCGAAACACAUGAGUUGGAAAUGUGCACUGAAAGUUUAGCUCCAACAGCAGUGUUUGGAGUUUACGCUCCACAAUGGUGGUUUAGUCCCAUAAUGCUGAUGAGAAAAUUGAUGUAUUGAAUUUUUUCAAACUUCUUCCUAAGUAAAUGUAUUGACUGGUGGUUUAAAGGUUUUUCAGCACUAAGAGGUGAUCAGAUUUUUUCUUCAUUUUACGCUAUUUGCAGUCAAAGGAAUGUAUCGCUGUUUUUAUUCUGUGGAAUGGAACUGAGAAUUUGCUGGCAGGAUUAUAUGCAUUUUUCUAGACCUGAGUCAUCUUUUAUCUGCAUGAUUCUGACCCGGCAACUCCAUCACUCAUGUUUGAAUUAGGUGCAUGCUUAAAGUAUUAGUAUACUGCCUUUAAGAUCAUUUGUUACCAUUUUCUAUCCCGUUUUUGUGUUUAUCAGCCCAUUUGUGUUGACAGUGACUAUGGAAGCAGUUGUGCAUGUCAUGAGAAAUCAUCUGAUAAGUAUCUCUUUGGUGACAAAGGCCUUGCCUACACUCUAAAUCCUUUUUUCCUGUGUUUAUUUUGCUGCUGCUACCAGUGGAAAUGUGUUCAUGAAACCAAAGAGCCUUGCAGAGAUUUUCUGUCCGUAAGAGCAGACGUCUAACUACCUGGUAUAAACCGUGCCCUGCGGACAGAUAUUUUGUACAUCAACCUCCAGAACUGGGAGUAGAGCAAGCAGCAACCUCUGCAGAAUGUCUUGUUGCUGAAAUUUAGUGGUUAGGAGUCUGGGUGGCCCUCCCAGGCUCAACGCAGGUUACUCUCUCUCCUCCUCAAAGUGGUACUGAACAUGCUGAAUGUUCCUGCUUCUGCCACUUUAACACUUUAACCAUCUGUUGGGUGGUUCUGUCAUCAAGCAGCUAUUGAGUGCUGAAAAUAUUUUUCCUAUCAAUCUAAACCUGUACUUCUAACGUAAAUCUCGUGGUGGACCUUGACCUGUGCUUGAUAAAAGGUGGCAGUAGAAUUAAUUGCCUCAUUUCUGGCAAAAUAUGUUCUGGAGCAGGAGCUUGAGAGGAAGAUGGCAGCUAAACACAAGAGGAAAUGUAUAGCAAUUUAGCACCAACAGAGUGCUAUUCGUGCCUUUUAAAAUUCUAAAUUCCUUGUAUAAACAGGGAGAUGAUUCGGUGACUUUCUGUGUCAGUUGACUGAAGUGUAUUUUUAAGAUAGGAGUAUCAGAGCUUGUCUGAAGCCAUGAGGAUUUACAGGGGCUUUCUGAGCAGGUUCUUGUCUCCCUUCAGGAUUUGGUUCUGUUUACAGCCGUGUCAUUCUGUCAGUGUCCUUUCCCUGCCAAGCAGCAGCAGCACUACAAGAUCUGCAAGGCAGUAUCCCUGGCUACUGGCUAGCUGCAGCACUGUUCAUUAGGUAGUAGAUAAAAUCAGAUUUUGUCUUCUAAUUAUUAUUAAAACAGAUGUCUUUAUGAUAAUGCAGCUAUCCAGCUCAGAUGUAGAAACAGCUUUAAAGGUUUCCAAGUAACUUAGUACCUUUUCUGGGAAUU
Athene cunicularia (burrowing owl) is the source of this 3520-nucleotide RNA transcript. It is a transcript of the gene named zinc finger DHHC-type containing 15, with no coding region annotated. NCBI's taxonomy places the organism in Eukaryota, Metazoa, Chordata, Aves, Strigiformes, Strigidae. The record is from RefSeq and is a predicted model, not a curated record. The transcript has 13 exons.